CAGACGGGAGAGUCAACGUGGGAAAAAACCCUUCGGUUCGGAAUAACCCAGGGAAACUUGGGCUAAUAUUGGCUACGUCCGUAAGGAGAAAGAUUUAUCGCCGAGGGAUCGGCCCGCGUCCGAUUAGCUAGUUGGUGAGGUAAUGGCUCACCAAGGCGACGAUCGGUAGCUGGUCUGAGAGGAUGAUCAGCCUCACUGGGACUGAGACACGGCCCAGACUCCUACGGGAGGCAGCAGUGGG
RNAcentral lists this ribosomal RNA (241 nucleotides) under uncultured Hyphomicrobiales bacterium. RNAcentral's name for it is "uncultured Rhizobiales bacterium partial 16S ribosomal RNA". It matches the Rfam family "Bacterial small subunit ribosomal RNA", at positions 99 to 358 of the family's 1533-position model. The record is from RNAcentral. Lineage: Bacteria; Pseudomonadati; Pseudomonadota; Alphaproteobacteria; Hyphomicrobiales.